UCGAGCUGCAGCUCUGAAGAACCCUAGUUCAACAACUUCAAACCCUUAUAACCAGAUCGAUCACAGGACCACCAUCAAUCUCUUCACUUCUCAAAACCCCAUCUCAGAUUCAAAAGCAAACCCUAGUCUCUUCUUCAACUGACUUCUUCUUAAUCAAUAGCACAAAGUCAUCAAAAUCAGCUUCAGAUCCCCUUUAAAAAAGUCGAUUGAACCACAGCAACCCUAAUUUGAUCUGCAGGUGAAUGACACAAUUGGCACAUUAUUUCGGGGUACUUCAAUAAUGACGUCAUUGCUGCUGUGAUAUUGGGUACUGGAACAAAAGAAGCAUAUAUGGAGCGUGCACAUGCGAUUCCCAAGUGGCAUGGACUUUUACCCAAAUCAGAAGAGAUGGAGGUUAUCUUAACUUUGUUUUCUAUCAUAAUUUAUUCUGCUCUUGUUUUCUGAAUUUUUUUUUUUAUAUCUGGUUACUGGAACACACAUUGUUCUUCAUUUACUUUGUCUUUUUGAAUGGAAAUCACUGACCUGCUGGAAAGGGGAAACUUCUCACAUCUUCCUCUAACAGAAUAUGAUCAUUCUUUGGAUCCCGAGAGUCUAAAUGUUGGUGAUCAGGUAAUAUUUUAACUGUAAUUUAUACUCUGAUCAACAUUUUUUUCACUCGUCAUCCAUUUCCAUAAUAUACAUGUGGUGCUCGUGUCUCCGCUGAAGAGAAAUGGUUAUUAUUGCACACGACGUCGAAUCGUUGAUUUCAUUGAGCUUGUUGUCUGGCUUCCACCAUCUUGUUGUCUGGCUUCCAGUAGCUUGUUGUCUGGCUUCCAGCAUUAUGCCGUAAAAUGGAAAUCCCAUAUGCCAUAAUUUAGUUAAGGACCUGAGAACGAUGAACAAGGGAAGCCAGGUGCGUAGGUUUACAGUUGCAUGAAUUUCAUCUGAAAAUUUCGCUUUGUCAUUCUUCUACAAUUCAUAUAUAUAUUUCUUAGAUUAUUAUUUCGUUAUCACAUUGGUUACCAAUUCCCUAGACUAUUCAGCAUAUCAUCGACUAGGCUUUGUUGCUCCAGACUAAGGAGGCCUUAUUCUUCUUCCACUAAAUUUGUAUUUCUAUAAGUUAAUGCUGCUCAUUACAUAUGUAUUACCAUUGCGGUACUUUCAAGAUUAGCAUUGCCUCCGAAAGUUGUUGAAAGGUAUGUUAUUUUUCUGAGCUUUUGAAGUCUUGCUAAAGAAACCAAGUUUUGAUGGUAAUUUAUUUCUAUUUUGUCUCUCUUUUGGUUAUGCUUUUAGGUAUUGCGACAGUGACAAAUGUGUCUGGAAGCACUCACAAAUUACUGAUAAUGUUUUUUUAUUGGAACUGUUAUCUCCAAGCAAAUAAAUUUUCCAAUUUGCACAUUGGAAUAUAUAUGUACACAAUAAUGAUUUGCUUCAUAUGUCUACACUGGAAAUAAUUGUGUAGAUGGUGCGGCUCCAAGGGCAAAGAUGAACCAGCAAAAAAGCUUCUAGAGAUACACAAAAAGCAGUAAGUGUUUUUACAUAUACAGUAGUAGCAAAUAUAGUAGGAAUGGAAACCCUGCUCAGAAAAAGAAGUACUUACUCAAGGUUUGGUUUCUGCUUUAAAAACACCAACGCACUUUGGAAUGUAGUGUUUCUUUGCUUGAGUAAUUUACACGAACUAAACUGUGUGCUAUCUGUUGAACGUGAAGUUGAUCAGUGAGGAACACGUUGGAGCUUUGGCUAUGAGUGAACCCAAUGCUGGAUCUGAUGCUGUUAGCAUGAAAUGCAAAGCUGAUCGCGUAGAUGGUGGUUAUGUUAUUAAUGGAAACAAGAUGUGGUGCACAAAUGGCCCAGUUGCUCAAACAUUGGUAUUUGGGCUUCAGUCAAAAAGCAGUACUCUGGUGAUAUUUAAGCAGCAGCUGAAUCUACGUAAGCGGAGUCUCGGGAUGCUUCUGGUGAUAUUUUAGUCUUUGUUUCCCUGUUUCUCAAUGCCUCUGUCAGUUGACACAAACUAGGUUGUCCAUCCAUUUAUGAACAUCAACAUAGAUCGAAUAUUGUAUGUCAGUCACAAAAUUUUGGGUUCAGUAAGUUUACUUGUGCACAUUUCUUUUGUAAUAUCAUCUAAUGGUGGUUCUCAAUAAUACAGUUUUGCAUCUCCAUUGUAGUUUGUA
Molecule: long non-coding RNA, 2150 nt
Organism: Papaver somniferum (opium poppy)
Lineage: Eukaryota; Viridiplantae; Streptophyta; Magnoliopsida; Ranunculales; Papaveraceae
Exons: 5
Source: RefSeq, a predicted model, not a curated record